RNAcentral lists this ribosomal RNA (760 nucleotides) under Lagochilascaris minor. RNAcentral describes it as "SSU rRNA". It matches the Rfam family "Eukaryotic small subunit ribosomal RNA", at positions 151 to 917 of the family's 1831-position model. The record is from RNAcentral. Lineage: Eukaryota; Metazoa; Nematoda; Chromadorea; Rhabditida; Ascarididae.
GGUAAUUCUAGAGCUAAUACAUGCACCAAAGCUCCGAUUUUCUGACGAGCGCAUCUAUUAAAUUAAAACCAAUCGGGUUUCGGCCCGUAAAUUGGUGACUCUGAAUAACUAUAGCUGAUCGCAUGGUCUCGAACCGGCGACGUGUCUAUCAAGUGUCUGCCUUAUCAACUGUCGAUGGUAGUUUAUGUGCCUACCAUGGUUGUAACGGGUAACGGAGAAUAAGGGUUCGACUCCGGAGAGGGAGCCUGAGAAACGGCUACCACAUCCAAGGAAGGCAGCAGGCGCGCAAAUUACCCACUCUCGGCAUGAGGAGGUAGUGACGAAAAAUAACGAGACCGUUCUCUAUGAGGCCGGUUAUCGGAAUGGGUACAAUUUAAACCCGUUAACGAGGAUCUAUGAGAGGGCAAGUCUGGUGCCAGCAGCCGCGGUAAUUCCAGCUCUCAAAGUGUAUAUCGUCAUUGCUGCGGUUAAAAAGCUCGUAGUUGGAUCUGCGCCUCAGGACCUGGUCCGCCCACUGGGCGAGAACUGGGCUCCUGGGCUAGUUCUGCUGGUUUUCCCUACGUUGCCUUCAUCGGUCGCGUAGGGUGGCUAGCGAGUUUACUUUGAAAAAAUUAGAGUGCUUCACGCGGGCUUAUGUCUGAAUACUCGUGCAUGGAAUAAUAGAAUAGGAUCUCGGUUCUAUUUUGUUGGUUUUCUGAUCUGAGAUAAUGGUUAAGAGGGACGGACGGGGGCAUUCGUAUCGCUGCGUGAGAGGUGAAAU